CAGCAGCCACGGUAAUACGUAGGGUGCAAGCGUUAAUCGGAAUUACUGGGCGUAAAGCGUGCGCAGGCGGUUUGCUAAGACAGAUGUGAAAUCCCCGGGCUCAACCUGGGAACUGCAUUUGUGACUGGCAAGCUAGAGUGUGGCAGAGGGGGGUGGAAUUCCGCGUGUUGCAGUGAAAUGCGUAGAUAUGCGGAGGAACACCGAUGGCGAAGGCAGCCCCCUGGGCCAACACUGACGCUCAUGCACGAAAGCGUGGGGAGCAAACAGGAUUAGAUACCCCCGUAGUCCCUGUCUCUUAUAC
Molecule: ribosomal RNA, 301 nt
Filed under: uncultured bacterium
Lineage: Bacteria
Description: partial 16S ribosomal RNA
Rfam family: Bacterial small subunit ribosomal RNA
Source: RNAcentral